CCGAAAGAUGCUGGCGGACUUCUCAGGGUCUUCGCACGUGUGGACUUGAUCUUCUUUGAUUUGAGCAAAUCCUUCUGUUCUGAGAAAUUGUUUAACCUGCUGGCAUCUUCAGAAAGGCUGGGCUGGAUCUUCCCCAGCAAGGCCUUCUAGCUGCCACUUUGUUUCCUUCACCCAUUUCUCUUUGGCCAGACUGUGAGGAAGCAGUAAAUGUUCUUCAAAUUCUGUAACUGAUCCGGACGAAGAAUGGAUUGGUGUCUGUAAGCAAG
Vicugna pacos (alpaca) is the source of this 266-nucleotide non-coding RNA. NCBI's taxonomy places the organism in Eukaryota, Metazoa, Chordata, Mammalia, Artiodactyla, Camelidae. The record is from RefSeq and is a predicted model, not a curated record.